RNAcentral lists this long non-coding RNA (281 nucleotides) under Setaria italica (foxtail millet). RNAcentral describes it as "long non-coding RNA (SITA_LNC004797)". Lineage: Eukaryota; Viridiplantae; Streptophyta; Magnoliopsida; Poales; Poaceae. The record is from RNAcentral.
GAAAAGGAGCAGUAGUAAAUUAGGACUCGGUGAUGUACCUGUCCACAAACACAGGCGAUUUGAGUCUAUCAUAAAUCAAAUGAUCUAUGUGUUGAUCACAUUUAUGAAAACAACAAUAAUAUAUUACGAUAUCGAAUGAGCAUCAUUAGAUCCGAAAUAUAUUUUCAUAUUUGUUUUUUAUGUGGUAAUAUGUUUUUUUAGGGCGGCAACGGUGGGCGGAGAUCGCCCACCUGAACUCAAUUGAUUUGGGGCAAUUUCGUUCAAAAAAAAAUUGAUUUGGG